AGUGAACGCUGGCGGUAGGCCUAACACAUGCAAGUCGAACGGCAGCACAGUAAGAGCUUGCUCUUACGGGUGGCGAGUGGCGGACGGGUGAGGAAUACAUCGGAAUCUACUUUUUCGUGGGGGAUAACGUAGGGAAACUUACGCUAAUACCGCAUACGACCUACGGGUGAAAGCAGGGGAUCUUCGGACCUUGCGCGAUUGAAUGAGCCGAUGUCGGAUUAGUUAGUUGGCGGGGUAAAGGCCCACCAAGGCGACGAUCCGUAGCUGGUCUGAGAGGAUGAUCAGCCACACUGGAACUGAGACACGGUCCAGACUCCUACGGUAGGCAGCAGUGGGGAAUAUUGGACAAUGGGCGCAAGCCUGAUCCAGCCAUACCGCGUGGGUGAAGAAGGCCUUCGGGUUGUAAAGCCCUUUUGUUGGGAAAGAAAAGCAGCAGGUUAAUACCCCGCUGUUCUGACGGUACCCAAAGAAUAAGCACCGGCUAACUUCGUG
Molecule: ribosomal RNA, 492 nt
Filed under: uncultured bacterium
Lineage: Bacteria
Description: partial 16S ribosomal RNA
Rfam family: Bacterial small subunit ribosomal RNA
Source: RNAcentral